CCUACGGGUUGCAGCAGUGGGGAAUAUUGCACAAUGGGCGCAAGCCUGAUGCAGCCAUGCCGCGUGUAUGAAGAAGGCCCUAGGGUUGUAAAGUACUUUCAGUCGGGAGGAAGGCGUUGAUGCUAAUAUCAUCAACGAUUGACGUUACCGACAGAAGAAACACCGGCUAACUCCGUGCCAGCAGCCGCGGUAAUACGGAGGGUGCAAGCGUUAAUCGGAAUUACUGGGCGUAAAGCGCACGCAGGCGGUGGAUUAAGAUAGAUGUGAAAUCCCCGGGCUUAACCUGGGAAUGGCAGCUAAGACUGGUCAGCUAGAGUCUUGUAGAGGGGGGUAGAAUUCCAUGUGUAGCGGUGAAAUGCGUAGAGAUGUGGAGGAAUACCGGUGGCGAAGGCGGCCCCCUGGACAAUGACUGACGCUCAGGUGCGAAAGCGCGGGGAGCAAACAGGAUUAGAUACCCGGGUAGUC
This 465-nucleotide ribosomal RNA is filed under the name uncultured bacterium. RNAcentral describes it as "bacterial SSU rRNA". It matches the Rfam family "Bacterial small subunit ribosomal RNA", at positions 338 to 795 of the family's 1533-position model. The record is from RNAcentral.